RNAcentral lists this ribosomal RNA (603 nucleotides) under uncultured fungus. Its description in RNAcentral is "eukaryotic LSU rRNA". It matches the Rfam family "Eukaryotic large subunit ribosomal RNA", at positions 23 to 641 of the family's 3401-position model. Lineage: Eukaryota; Fungi. The record is from RNAcentral.
ACCCGCUGAACUUAAGCAUAUCAAUAAGCGGAGGAAAAGAAACCAACAGGGAUUGCCCUAGUAACGGCGAGUGAAGCGGCAACAGCUCAAAUUUGAAAUCUGGCUCUUUCAGAGUCCGAGUUGUAAUUUGCAGAGGGCGCUUUGGCAUUGGCAGCGGUCCAAGUUCCUUGGAACAGGACGUCACAGAGGGUGAGAAUCCCGUACGUGGUCGCUAGCCUUUACCGUGUAAAGCCCCUUCGACGAGUCGAGUUGUUUGGGAAUGCAGCUCUAAAUGGGAGGUAAAUUUCUUCUAAAGCUAAAUACUGGCCAGAGACCGAUAGCGCACAAGUAGAGUGAUCGAAAGAUGAAAAGCACUUUGGAAAGAGAGUUAAAAAGCACGUGAAAUUGUUGAAAGGGAAGCGCUUGCAGCCAGACUUGCCUGUAGUUGCUCAUCCGGGUUUUUACCCGGUGCACUCUUCUAUAGGCAGGCCAGCAUCAGUUUGGGCGGUUGGAUAAAGGUCUCUGUCAUGUACCUCUCUUCGGGGAGAACUUAUAGGGGAGACGACAUGCAACCAGCCCGGACUGAGGUCCGCGCAUCUGCUAGGAUGCUGGCGUAAUGGCUGU